UUAAAUUGAAGAGUUUGAUCAUGGCUCAGAUUGAACGCUGGCGGCAGGCCUAACACAUGCAAGUCGAACGGUAACAGGAAGCAGCUUGCUGUUUCGCUGACGAGUGGCGGACGGGUGAGUAAUGUCUGGGAAACUGCCUGAUGGAGGGGGAUA
Molecule: ribosomal RNA, 153 nt
Filed under: Escherichia coli
Lineage: Bacteria; Pseudomonadati; Pseudomonadota; Gammaproteobacteria; Enterobacterales; Enterobacteriaceae
Description: partial 16S ribosomal RNA
Rfam family: Bacterial small subunit ribosomal RNA
Source: RNAcentral